RNAcentral lists this ribosomal RNA (373 nucleotides) under uncultured bacterium. RNAcentral's name for it is "bacterial SSU rRNA". It matches the Rfam family "Bacterial small subunit ribosomal RNA", at positions 527 to 898 of the family's 1533-position model. The record is from RNAcentral.
GUAGGGGGCUAGCGUUGUCCGGAAUCAUUGGGCGUAAAGCGCGCGUAGGCGGCCCGGUAAGUCCGCUGUAAAAGUCAAAGGCUCAACCUUUGAAUGUCAGUGGAUACUGCCGGGCUAGAGUCCGGAAGAGGCGAGUGGAAUUCCUGGUGUAGCGGUGGAAUGCGCAGAUAUCAGGAGGAACACCGACGGCGAAGGCAGCUCGCUGGGACGGUACUGACGCUGAGGCGCGAAAGCGUGGGGAGCGAACAGGAUUAGAUACCCUGGUAGUCCACGCCGUAAACGAUGGGCACUAGGUGUGGGAGGUGUCGACUCCUCCCGUGCCGGCGCUAACGCAUUAAGUGCCCCGCCUGGGGAGUACGGCCGCAAGGCUAAA